RNAcentral lists this ribosomal RNA (800 nucleotides) under uncultured bacterium. RNAcentral's name for it is "bacterial SSU rRNA". It matches the Rfam family "Bacterial small subunit ribosomal RNA", at positions 8 to 822 of the family's 1533-position model. The record is from RNAcentral.
AGAGUUUGAUCCUGGCUCAGAAUCAACGCUGGCGGCGUGCCUCAGACAUGCAAGUCGAACGAUUAAAGCUCUCUUCGGAGAGUGCAUAGAGUGGCGCACGGGUGAGUAACACGUAAGUAAUCUACCCUCGAGUGGGGAAUAACGUCCGGAAACGGGCGCUAAUACCGCAUAAUGCAGCGGCAUCAUAAGAUGACAGUUGUUAAAGAUUUAUCGCUUGAGGAGGAGCUUGCGGCAGAUUAGCUAGUUGGUAAGGUAACGGCUUACCAAGGCUACGAUCUGUAACCGGUCUUAGAGGACGGUCGGUCACACUGACACUGAAUAACGGGUCAGACUCCUACGGGAGGCAGCAGUCGGGAAUUUUGGGCAAUGGGCGAAAGCCUGACCCAGCAACGCCGCGUGAAGGAUGAAGUAUUUCGGUAUGUAAACUUCGAAAGAAUAGGAAGAAUUAAUGACGGUACUAUUUAUAAGGUCCGGCUAACUACGUGCCAGCAGCCGCGGUAAUACGUAGGGACCAAGCGUUGUUCGGAUUUACUGGGCGUAAAGGGCGCGUAGGCGGCAUGACAAGUCACUUGUGAAAUCUCCGGGCUUAACUCGGAACGGCCAAGUGAUACUGUCACGCUAGAGUAUUGGAGGGGCAAUCGGAAUUCUUGGUGUAGCGGUGAAAUGCGUAGAUAUCAAGAGGAACACCUGAGGUGAAGACGGGUUGCUGGCCAAAUACUGACGCUGAGGCGCGAAAGCCAGGGGAGCAAACGGGAUUAGAUACCCCGGUAGUCCUGGCCCUAAACGAUGAAUACUUGGUG